ACUCCAUCACUCCCUCCCUCCGCCACUUUUUCUCUCCUCCACUCUUUUCUUCUUUUGUUUUUUCCCCUCCUCCUCUUUCACUUCUCCUGUAAAAUGAGGCUGGCGCAGGAAGCAGCGGAGUGUGGGUAUUUGGGAGGCGCUGAAACGUGCCUGUCAUUAUCAUCAAAGGCCCUUCCCUUCCCAGGUGCCCUUUUCAAGUUGGAGACAUUGGCGUCUCGCUUUCAAAGACACUUUUUAACUGUGAGGAGAGUUCUGGCCUGGACAUGUGAGAGAGCAUGUGAUAAACUCAUCUCUAUAGUGUUAUUCAAAAUACAUUAAGAACCACUUCAAUAAAAAAGACUUUAUUCUCUGGCCAACCACAGCAGUGAGUCGACUCUACCCUAUCCUCCCUUUCAUAAGUGGCAGGGGAGAGAGAAAAAAAGUGUGUGUAACAGUGUGUAUGACAGAGAAAAAAGUGUGUGACUGUGUAUGACAGUGAAGGAAGUGUGUGACAGUGUGUAUGACAGAGACGGAAGUGUGUGACAGUGUGUAUGACAGCAAAAGAAAACCUGCUGAGCUUGAAGCCUGUCAGAGCUUCCAACUUUUACUUUCGACGUUUUUUGUUUUCAAAGUUUGUCAGCACAGUGUACUCCACAGCUAUCAGUAGUUUAUGUGUUUAAUCUGUUUAUUCUCCACAGCUAUCAGUAGUUUAGAUGUUUAAUCUGUUUAUACUCCUCCUCCACCACUAUCAGUAGUUUAUGUGUUUAUAGUUUAAUCUGUUUAUACUCCACAGCUAUCAGUAGUUUAAUCUGUUUAUACUCAACAGCUAUCAGUAGUUUAGAUGUUUAAUGUUUAAUCUGUUUAUACUCCUCCUCCACCACUAUCAGUAGUUUAUGUGUUUAGUGUUUAAUCUGUUUAAUCUGUUCAUACUCCACAGCUAUCAGUAGUUUAAUCUGUUUAUACUCCACAGCUAUCAGUAGUUUAAUCUGUUUAUACUCAACAGCUAUCAGUAGUUUAGAUGUUUAAUGUUUAAUCUGUUUAUACUCCUCCUCCACCACUAUCAGUAGUUUAUAUGUUUAGUGUUUAAUCUGUUUAUACUCAACAGCUAUCAGUAGUUUAAUCUGUUUAUACUCAACAGCUAUCAGUAGUUUAGGUGUUUAAUCUGUUUAAUCUGUUUAUUCUCCACAGCUAUCAGUAGUUUAAUCUGUUUAUACUCAACAGCUAUCAGUAGUUUAUGUGUUUAGUGUUUAAUCUGUUUAUACUCAACAGCUAUCAGCAGUUUAGUGUUUAGUCUGUUUGUACUCAACAGCUAUCAGUAGUUUAGUGUUUAGUCUGUUUGUACUCCACAGCUAUCCCGACUUUGUUUGUACCAGGCGUCUUUUUACAGAGGUGUAGCAUUACGCCCCUGUUAAUCUCACCUGUUAAUCUCACCGUCAUCUUUUUACAGAGGUGUAGAGAGAGACCUGUUAAUCUCACCGUCAUCUUUUUACAGAGAUGUAGCAUUACGCUCCUGUUAAUCUCACCGUCAUCUUUUUACAGAGGUGUAGAGAGAGACCUGUUAAUCUCACCGUCAUCUUUUUACAGAGCUGUAGCAUAAUGCACCUGUUAAUCUCACCGUCAUCUUUUUACAGAGGUGUAGAGAGAGACCUGUUAAUCUCACCGUCAUCUUUUUACAGAGCUGUAGCAUAAUGCACCUGUUAAUCUCACCGUCAUCUUUUUACAGAGGUGUAGAGAGAGACCUGUUAAUCUCACCGUCAUCUUUUUACAGAGGUGUAGCAUUCAGUGUUGUGCAUGAACGCGUUCAAAAGAACACGUUCAUUUUUAUGAGAACGAUGAACUGAACGCAACUUCAUGACAAAUAAUGAAUUUGAACGGUGAACACGUUCAUAUUAUCUGAGGUCCAGCGCCACUGAGGUCUAGCUAAAACAUUACGGAAUGUUUUCCUUCUACUGAGGAAAGACGCUGUCUAAAUCGAAUGCUUGUACCAUGUCGUUGCUCAGUACCUAAAAAGGCCAUAGUAAUUAUUUGUUAAAUUGCCCAGACAGACC
This is a long non-coding RNA of Clupea harengus (Atlantic herring), 2027 nucleotides long. Lineage: Eukaryota; Metazoa; Chordata; Actinopteri; Clupeiformes; Clupeidae. The record is from Ensembl.